Molecule: long non-coding RNA, 1054 nt
Filed under: Homo sapiens (human)
Lineage: Eukaryota; Metazoa; Chordata; Mammalia; Primates; Hominidae
Description: HSALNT0205700
Source: RNAcentral
GCAAAGGGUGAUUUUUAAAGGGAGAGAAAAAAUAGAAGACACAACUAGUUAAGAAUCUAUUGCAGUAUUCCAGACCAGAUGGGGAGAGCGUAAACAGAGUCUAUGAGAAUGGCGCAGGGGAUGGUGAGGAGCAGGCUGAUAGAAGAAAUGGGGUCAAUUGUAUCUAAUGACUCCAAAGAGAGAGGAGUGAAGAAUGACUUUCAUAUUUCUGAUUUAGAAGGCGAGGAGACAAAUGAUGUUACCAUGGUAAAUAAGAAUAAAGAGAAAAUAAAGUUGUUUUCAAAUCCCUUGUCUGAAAUAAUCAUAACAAAAACAAUAGCUUACAUUUUAUGUAUACCAUAUGCCAUGAGUUGGUCUCAGCAUUUUACAUAAAUUUACAUAUAAUAAUUGCACCUAACAACUAGUUGGAAUAGGUAACAUUUUAAUUUCAAGUUCCCAGAAGAGGAAACUGAAACCCAGAGAGGUUAAGUAAUUUGCCUGAUAUUUCACAGCCAGGAAAAUGGCAGUGUGGGUUUUUUUAAUGGUUUUUUUUUUUUUUUGAGACAGAGUUUCGCUCUUGUUGCACAGGCUGGAGUGCAAUGGCACGAUCUUGGCUCACCUCCUCCUCUGCGUCCUGUGUUCAAGCGAUUCUCCUGCCUCUCCUGGGAUUACGGGCAUGUGCCACCAUGCCCGGCCAAUUUUGAACACAGACAGCCUGCGUCCAGAAUCCCUGCUCUUUCCCUGUAUACCACAUGGCCUCCUGUGCACGAUCCAGAGGAGACAUCCAGGUGUUGGAUACAUGGGCCCGGGGUGCAGCAGAAAAGCAUUGCCCCAGUGCACAGCCAUAUCCAUAUGCCGUUGGCGCAUGGAUUGGAACAAAACCAUGGAACUCGAUGAAGAAGAGAUGGCAGUUGCCGUGGAGGAAAGUGAGGAUACUGUGAGGACACAGAGGAAAGUGUGAGCUCCUUUACUUGUGAAGACUUCACAGAAGAAAUAAUCUUUGAGCUGAAUCUUGAAAGAUGUGAAAAAGCUGCAAGAGAGACAAGAGGAGAGGGAGAUGGACAAGCAAAUGCAG